CUCUUUGUCUGGAGGUUACGUCCAUACAGAUGAUAACAAGUAAAAGGAAUGUUGGUAGUUAUAUGAUCAGCGAUUGAACACACUAUAUCACACCUAUUAGCCUCAAUAAUCCAAAUAUAUUUUUCCUUUCGAGAC
Molecule: ribosomal RNA, 135 nt
Filed under: Hematodinium sp.
Lineage: Eukaryota; Dinophyceae; Syndiniales; Syndiniaceae
Description: partial small subunit ribosomal RNA
Source: RNAcentral